GUUUUGACUGUUGUGCAUUAUGGAGUAUUCAGUCUGCACUGUUAACUACGAAACAGGAGGUGUGGAGAGCUGGAGUGAUCACUCCGCCAUGCCGGUGGUUGUUGUAGUGGGCAUUGCGGUUUAGAGGCGGCAUACAAUUUAGCUAGUGAGGAUUAUAGAGGGUUUAGAGAGCUGAGUAGGGGGGAUUAAUAGAUAUGGUGACAAUACAGCCCAACUAGCGAAAGAGUCAUAGAAUCUGGAGUUAACAUACCGCUCAGACGGUGUGGGAUACGGUGUGUACACUGUGUACACUGCUUAGACAGUGCCGGUUAUAGACGAUGUGGGAUACGGUGUGUACACUGCUCAGACAGUGCAGGUUAUAGAAGGUGUUGGAUACAGUGUGUACACUGCUCAGACAGUGAAGGUCAUAGACGUUGUGGGAUACGGCGUGUACACUGCUCAGACAGUGCCGGUUAUAGACGAUGUGGGAUACGGUGUGUACACUGCUCAGACAGUGCACGUAAUAGACGGUGUGGGAUACAGUGUGUACACUGCUCAGACAGUGCAGGUUAUAGAAGGAGUUGGAUACAGUGUGUACACUACUCAGACAGUGCAGGUUAUAGACAGGGUGGGAUAUGGUGUGUACACUGCUCAGACAGUGCAGGUCAUAGACGGUGUGGGAUACGGUGUGUACACUUCUCAGACAGUGCAGGUUAUAGAAGGUGUUGGAUACAGUGUGUACACUGCUCAGACAGUGCAGGUCACAGACAGUGUGGGAUAUGGUGUGUACACUGUUCAGACAGUGCAGCUUAUAGAAGGUGUGGGAUACAGUGUGUACACUGCUCAGACAGUGCAGGUUAUAGAUGGUGUGGGAUACGGUGUGUACACUGCUCAGACAGUGCAGGUUAUAGAAGGUGUUGGAUACUGUGUGUACACUGUUCAGACAGUGCAGGUUAUAGAUGGUGUGGGAUACGGUGUGUACAGUGCUCAGACAGUGCAGGUUAUAGACAGUGUUGGAUACGGCGUGUUCACUGUUCAGACAGUGCAGGUUAUAUACGGUGUGGGAUACACUGCUCAGACAGUGCAGGUUAUAGAAGGUGUGGGAUACGGUGUGUACACUGCUCAGACAGUGCAGGUUAUAGAUGGUGUGGGAUACGGUGUGUACACUGCUCAGACAGUGCAGGUUAUAGAUGGUGUGGGAUACGGUGUGUACACUGCUCAUACAGUGCAGGUUAUAGAAGGUGCAGGUUAUAGAAGGUGUUGGAUACAGUGUGUACACUGCUCAGACAGUGCAGGUUAUAGAUGGCGUGGGAUACGGUGUGUACACUGCUCAGACAGUGCAGGUUAUAGAAGGUGUUGGAUACAGUGUGUACACUGCUCAGACAGUGCAGGUUAAACACGGUGUUGGAUACGGCGUGUUCACUGCUC
Non-coding RNA from Pelobates cultripes (western spadefoot toad), 1407 nucleotides. The record is from the annotation of a GenBank genome assembly. NCBI's taxonomy places the organism in Eukaryota, Metazoa, Chordata, Amphibia, Anura, Pelobatidae.